GACGAACGCUGGCGGCGUGCUUAACACAUGCAAGUCGAACGAUGAAGCCUAGCUUGCUAGGUGGAUUAGUGGCGAACGGGUGAGUAAUACGUGAGUGACCUACCUUUGACUCUGGGAUAAGCCUGGGAAACUGGGUCUAAUACCGGAUACGACCAAUCUCCGCAUGGGGUGUUGGUGGAAAGCGUUAUGGAGUGGUUUUAGAUGGGCUCACGGCCUAUCAGCUUGUUGGUGAGGUAAUGGCUUACCAAGGCGACGACGGGUAGCCGGCCUGAGAGGGUGACCGGCCACACUGGGACUGAGACACGGCCCAGACUCCUACGGGAGGCAGCAGUGGGGAAUAUUGCACAAUGGGCGCAAGCCUGCUGCAGCGACGCCGCGUGAGGGAUGACGGCCUUCGGGUUGUAAACCUCUGUUAGCAUCGAAGAAGCGA
Molecule: ribosomal RNA, 430 nt
Filed under: Rothia dentocariosa
Lineage: Bacteria; Bacillati; Actinomycetota; Actinomycetes; Micrococcales; Micrococcaceae
Description: bacterial SSU rRNA
Rfam family: Bacterial small subunit ribosomal RNA
Source: RNAcentral